CUUUGGCUUGUAUUCUCGUUCUUGUCUCUUUCUGCGUCCCUAACCUCAGCUUGUCCUUGACCAUUCUCUUUUACAUUCAAUUGGGCCAUUCUAAGGCCCGGUAAUAUGUUUCUUUGGUUUUUCCUUUUUAUUUAUUUUAGUUUACUUUAUUCUGCAUAUUGGGACAUAUGUUAUCCUAACAUUACGACAAACUUUACUACCAUGCAGAAUUAAGUCAGCAUAUGCUGACCUGUAAGAGAAAGGUCAAGGAGAUUCAUCACAG
Molecule: non-coding RNA, 262 nt
Organism: Pelobates cultripes (western spadefoot toad)
Lineage: Eukaryota; Metazoa; Chordata; Amphibia; Anura; Pelobatidae
Source: the annotation of a GenBank genome assembly